UAACUUUCAACAACGGAUCUCUUGGCUCUUGCAUCGAUGAAGAACGCAGCGAAAUGCGAUAAGUAAUGUGAAUUGCAGAAUUCCGUGAAUCAUCAAAUCUUUGAACGCAAAUUGCACUCUUUGGUAUUCCGAUGAGUAUGCUUGUUUGAGGGUUGUUCC
Molecule: ribosomal RNA, 159 nt
Filed under: Acaulospora cavernata
Lineage: Eukaryota; Fungi; Glomeromycota; Glomeromycetes; Diversisporales; Acaulosporaceae
Description: 5.8S ribosomal RNA
Rfam family: 5.8S ribosomal RNA
About the family: 5.8S ribosomal RNA (5.8S rRNA) is a component of the large subunit of the eukaryotic ribosome.
Source: RNAcentral